CAGAAUAAGGGGUGGGCAAGCCUGGUGUCAGCCGCCGCGGUAAUACAGCACCCCGAGUGGUCGGGACGAUUAUUGGGCCUAAAGCAUCCGUAGCCGGUUCUACAAGUCUUCCGUUAAAUCCACCUGCUUAACAGUUGGGCUGCAGAGGAUACUAUAGAGCUAGGAGGCGGGAGAGGCAAGCGGUACUUAGUGGGUAGGGGUAAAAUCCGUUGAUCCACUGAAGACCACCAGUGGCGAAAGCGGCUUGCCAGAACGCGCUCGACGGUGAGGGAUGAAAGCUGGGGGAGCAAACCGGAUUAGAUACCCGGGUAGUCCCAGCUGUAAACGAUGCAGACUCGGUGAUGAAUAGGCUUCGUGCCUAUUCAGUGCCGCAGGGAAGCCGUUAAGUCUGCCGCCUGGGGAGUACGGUCGCAAGACUGAAACUUAAAGGAAUUGGCGGGGGAGCACCACAAGGGGUGAAGCCUGCGGUUCAAUUGGAGUCAACGCCGGGAAUCUUACCGGGGGCGACAGCGGAAUGAAGGUCAAGCUGAAGACUUUACCAGACAAGCUGAGAGGAGGUGCAUGGCCGUCGCCAGCUCGUGCCGUGAGGUGUCCUGUUAAGUCAGGUAACGAGCGAGAUCCCUGCCUCUAGUUGCUACCAUUGCUCUCAGGAGUAAUGGGGCUAAUUAGAGGGACUGCCGUCGCUGAGACGGAGGAAGGAGGGGGCUACGGCAGGUCAGUAUGCCCCGAAACCCUCGGGCCACACGCGGGCUGCAAUGGUAAGGACAAUAAGUUCCUAGUCCGAAAGGAGGAGGUAAUCUCCAAACC
This 807-nucleotide ribosomal RNA is filed under the name uncultured crenarchaeote. RNAcentral's name for it is "bacterial SSU rRNA". It matches the Rfam family "Archaeal small subunit ribosomal RNA", at positions 431 to 1238 of the family's 1478-position model. Lineage: Archaea; Thermoproteati; Thermoproteota. The record is from RNAcentral.